UAGUGAGUUUGAUCCUGGCUCAGGACGAACGCUGGCGGCGUGCUUAACACAUGCAAGUCGAACGGUGACCUCGAGAGCUUGCUCUUGGGUGAACAGUGGCGAACGGGUGAGUAACACGUGAGUAACCUGCCCCUGACUCUGGAAUAAGCGCUGGAAACGGCGUCUAAUACCGGAUACGAGACGCGACCGCAUGGUCAGUGUCUGGAAAGUUUUUCGGCUGGGAUGGACUCGCGGCCUAUCAGCUUGUUGGUGAGGUAAUGGCUCACCGAAGGCGAUGACGGGUA
RNAcentral lists this ribosomal RNA (284 nucleotides) under uncultured Micrococcineae bacterium. RNAcentral's name for it is "partial 16S ribosomal RNA". It matches the Rfam family "Bacterial small subunit ribosomal RNA", at positions 1 to 285 of the family's 1533-position model. The record is from RNAcentral. Lineage: Bacteria; Bacillati; Actinomycetota; Actinomycetes; Micrococcales.